GACGAACGCUGGCGGCGUGCUUAACACAUGCAAGUCGAACGAAAAUACCAAGCUUGCUUGGUUGAUUAGUGGCGAACGGGUGAGUAACACGUGAGUAACCUGCCCCUUACUUUCCUGGAUAACUGCUCGAAAGGGUAGCUAAUACGGGAUAUUCUGACCAGCCUGCAUGGGUUGGUUUGGAAAGGUUGUUUUUCUGGUAAGGGAUGGGCUCGCGGCCUAUCAGCUUGUUGGUGGGGUGAUGGCCUACCAAGGCUUUGACGGGUAGCCGGCCUGAGAGGGUGGACGGUCACACUGGGACUGCGGUACGGCCCAGACUCCUACGGGAGGCAGCAGUGGGGAAUAUUGCACAAUGGGCGCAAGCCUGAUGCAGCGACGCCGCGUGAGGGAUGAAGGCCUUCGGGUUGUAAACCUCUUUCGGCAGGGAACAAGGCACUGCUUUUUUGGUGGUGUUGAGGGUACCUGGAGAAGAAGCGCCGGCUAACUACGUG
RNAcentral lists this ribosomal RNA (488 nucleotides) under uncultured bacterium. RNAcentral describes it as "partial 16S ribosomal RNA". It matches the Rfam family "Bacterial small subunit ribosomal RNA", at positions 28 to 507 of the family's 1533-position model. The record is from RNAcentral.